RNAcentral lists this microRNA (22 nucleotides) under Ectocarpus siliculosus. RNAcentral describes it as "esi-miR8622a". Lineage: Eukaryota; Phaeophyceae; Ectocarpales; Ectocarpaceae. The record is from miRBase by way of RNAcentral.
CUUGGUUCCGGCGCAGAUUUCG